RNAcentral lists this ribosomal RNA (195 nucleotides) under Triticum aestivum (bread wheat). Its description in RNAcentral is "partial small subunit ribosomal RNA". The record is from RNAcentral. Lineage: Eukaryota; Viridiplantae; Streptophyta; Magnoliopsida; Poales; Poaceae.
ACCCUCCAAACAAAUAGAUUGUCCCGAGGGCGCCAUAUUCUAGGAGCCCAAGUUAUGCUAUUGAAAAUUCGUCCCUCUAGCAGUUUCGGUUUGAGCAUUCCAUUCCCUUUUUCAAACUCCACUUAUUUCCAUAUGGCAUCCCAGAUCAAAGAGAGAGCACUAUCCAUUGCAUUUCAUAGCCACUUUUCAUCCUAG